This 237-nucleotide long non-coding RNA is filed under the name Helianthus annuus (common sunflower). It matches the Rfam family "Eukaryotic small subunit ribosomal RNA", at positions 511 to 755 of the family's 1831-position model. The record is from RNAcentral. Lineage: Eukaryota; Viridiplantae; Streptophyta; Magnoliopsida; Asterales; Asteraceae.
GGAAUGAGUACAUCUAAUCCCUUAACGAGGAUCCAUGGAGGGCAAGUCGGUGCCAGCAGCGCGGUAGUCCAGCUCCAAUAGCGGUAUAUUUAAGUGUUGCAGUUUAAAAAAAGCUCGUAGUUGGACUUUGGUGGGUCGCCGGUCAGCCAUCAGGUGUGCACCGAGGUUAACUCGUCCCUUCUGUCGGACGAUGCGCUCCUACCCUUAACUGGGCGGGUCGUGCCUCGGCGUUGUUAC